CAGUUUGAAAUUUGACGCCGAGCGCGGCGGAACGUAGAGCGUUCCGCUCACAGACCAAACAAGAAAAUGCGGCCAUCGCCCGCCGCUGCUUCUGCUGGCGUCGCAGCAGCAAUGCGGCCAUUAUCCUGCAAGAGGCUGCGACCUGAUCCCUGGGCCAUCCGAUUAAUAACUCGGCGAGAAAAAAAAAAAACGAAAAAAGAACUGGUAAUGCAGUGCAGAAACACUCCAGAAACUCGGUGCAAAAGUGUUGAGAAUACAGACAAGAAAUACCGUCGCAUCAAUAAAUUAAUUACCAACCCAGCGCAACUUGUAUUAAAGCGGAUUUAAUUCAGAACUGCAAAGCACAUUCCAACCAGGACACACGAACUACAACGUCGGAGCAUCUGCCGGAGCGCCGUCCUCCUCCUCCCCUGGCCAUUACUCAGCAGUCUUAGCAGGGCUUAGUGCUGAAUCAUCGCCCACGUCGUUACCGAUUCACCAAUUGUCCGAUUUGGAGCAGGAACAAGAAGGCUUAAAGAAGUGGCGCCGAGUGCUGGGAACCUCGACUGGCGACAGCGAUCCAGGUCGGGAGCUUAGCAAGGCGACUCACUGAUUGAUUUCAGUGCAAACAGAAGACUUCGCAGCUAGCACCUCGCCCAUGGGCAGAUCUAUCAUUCAUUAAAUGAGUGUCGUGUCUAUCCAAUUUCCAGGCCUGGCACCCAUUUUAUCGACGUGAAGAAAGUGCUGUAAUCCGCCGGCAAUCAAUUAGAUACAAGCGCUCUAAGCACUCCCGAAGACAUCGCGCCGUAUCUUAUCUUAUCGCCGCUUCUUCCGAUAAGGUCUGGCAUUACCUUUCCGCACUACGUAUUUCGGACUGCCUCCUAAUCUUGAGUCCCUCGGUGAGGUCUUGGCUUCAGUUGGUUUCCAGCGGCGAGGGCGAAGACAACGCGGAGCUGGCUUCUCCGGCGAAAGGCUUCCGUGACUUUCCGGACAGGAACCCCGACUCGAACACGGAGACCCCGCGAAUGCCUCGAUUUAAUUGGCAGUCCACGGCGGGCUUUGUAAUCACAUUUAUGGGUCAUUCCAUAAUUUCGAAAGGACUAGAGGAAACUGCUAGCCACAGCCGCAUCACGUGUGGCACGAUAAAUAUAAUUUACCCGAGGCGCAUGUAAUUGCGGCGCUGCCUAAAUUACCCCGCCUUGAACACACACAUUGUAUAUGUUUAUUAACAUUUUCACUUUUUUUUUUUGCAGCCGCGAUUGCCUAGCGGACUUCAUUUCGCCCCAGCGACUGUUCCUCAUCAGUUUGCUCCACGUCUACCCUGUAGAUCCGAAUUUGUUUUAUACUAGCUUUAAGGACAAAUUCGGUUCUAGAGAGGUUUGUGUGGUUCAAUAUCCAUCGAAAAAGUGUUGCUGAUGGCAAGCGGAAAAGUGAUUUUAUAAAUAAGUUUUAAGGUCAGAAAUGCUGAUGUCAACAAAUUCGUGCAUAUGUAUUACUCUCUUGAUAAGAUUGGGUUCAUUUGUUUAAUUAAAUUAUUCAGCAUUCGCAAGAAAUUAGAAAGUACAAAUCGGGAGAAUCCAUAAAUUAGGUCACUGAUUCUCCCUCAUAUAGGAGCUGAAAUUUUAAUCAUUAAUAGAGAAGGUAAUAAAAUUGUUAUACCUUUUUUGGGAUGACUCAUUUCAAUCAAAUAGUAACAAUUACUGUUGCCAACUAACACAUUCUUAGUGCUUACCAUAAAAUCAAUGAUAAUAAAUUGCUGUCUUGACACAAUUUUGUUUGGCUUACAUUUAUAGAUAAGAACACGAUGUAUUAAAGUUUCACUUUUCAAUGCCAGUGAUUCAAUGGCGAACGAAUUUUAAAAAAAAUUAUCAGUUAUGCUUUAAUAUCAUAAUAAUGAACUCAAUGAAUGAUCAAAAAUAGUUAAGCCUCAGAUUUUAAUGUCUUUAUUUUUGAAUAAGCAAAAAUACAUGUACUUAUGCUGGGAAAUAAAACAAACGCAGUCAAUUGCUGAUAUGAUAUGUUGUAAUCUAUUUUAGUGAUGAUGAAGAUGAAUAUGUGUGACUUCUUUUGAAUGAAUAAAGACAUAUUUUAUCACUU
This is a non-coding RNA of Drosophila melanogaster (fruit fly), 2076 nucleotides long. The record is from Ensembl. NCBI's taxonomy places the organism in Eukaryota, Metazoa, Arthropoda, Insecta, Diptera, Drosophilidae.